This is a long non-coding RNA of Gorilla gorilla gorilla (western lowland gorilla), 1560 nucleotides long. RefSeq lists it as uncharacterized. NCBI's taxonomy places the organism in Eukaryota, Metazoa, Chordata, Mammalia, Primates, Hominidae. The transcript has 2 exons. The record is from RefSeq and is a predicted model, not a curated record.
GCAUGGAGCGCGAACAAAGGGGCGUCCAAGAUGGACGCCAUGAGGAGCUACGCGGCCAGAGUGAGGAGAUGAGGAAGAAGGAAGUGGGGGGCAUGGAGCGCGAACAAAGGGGUGUCCAAGAUGGACGCCAUGAGGGGCUACGCGGCCGGAGUGAGGAGAUGAGGAAGAAGGAGGCUGGCUGAGGGCUCCUCGGGAAUGGAAAGGGCUUCUUAGACCUUGAUGGCUGAAAUGUCCUGAAACUGUCGCAAGCUUAGCCGAGACAUCAAUAAAUCACUUAAACUGCAUGAGAGUGACCGACUGCUGUUGGAAAGGAGAAACUCAGUGACUGAGUGCUGGGGAGGCGUCCAAAUACACAGACUUGCUUUUUGUAUGGUUUUGGGUGGAGUUCCCAGCUCUCCUAUUACAAGAGCGUAUGUAGGUAUUUGGAAGGACGAGGGGGACAGUGUGCUGUGGAAAUGCCCAAGAUCUGAGGGCAGGAGACCAUUCUCCAGUGACAGCCUCUUGGGAGGUUGAGGCCCCAGCCCCUUAUCUCUUCAAGGCUGAUUCACUAAUACCCCAGCACCACAGAGGGGAGAGGGACUCUGUCCUCCUAAACAAGUCAAGUCCAAAAGCCCCCACUGGAACACAGGGCCUACCCAGUUCAUGUUUUGAGGGAGACCAAGCUUUCCGUGAUGAUAAUGCGAUGAAACAAUUGAUGCGUCAGAACACAGCAGUUGAGAAACAAUGGAGCAGAUGGUGUCAAAAUCCCAGCACCAGAAAGGCUCAUCUAAGGCCGGGCAACCAAAAUGUUCUCGGGACUAUUCUGUACUUAACCCUGGUUUCUGCUUAGGGGACGGUGGGACAAUAUGCAUAUGGAUGUCUAUGUGGGAUUUGUUGCAAGAGCACAACACACCCCUUGACCUAUGCAAGUGCCAGAGUGUCUGAGUCCAGCUUCUACUCCUGUUAAUGAUCACGGGAGCCUCAAUACACAACCAUUGUGCAUGGCGGCUGGAGUAUGGAGUAGUAAGUGGUAUCUAGAAAGGCAGGUCUACAGUGGCAUAUGGGAUUUCCUGGUACUUCUUCUUUAAUAGAAACUAUCUUCACAGAUCAUGACAUCAGGUCAGCUGCAUUUCUCACUGGGACCAAUAAACAAUAGAAGCAACAACCAUAAAGACUUAAGAGGACAAAGGAAACCAAACCUCACUGUGUGUCUUCAAGAUCUUCUGUUCACAUAGUUGCAGGAAGUUGCUGUAGACAAAGUACAUUACUAAAGAAUGAAGCCCACCCAGGACAUCACAGCAACGAAAGAACUAUUUCUGGUAACUGUGGACCAGAUAAGCUACAAGACAGAAGGCCACAUAUCUCCCCAGGUGGUCUCCCUCACCUGACAAUAUAAAUUAACAGCUUAUCUUCAUAGGUAAGGGACAAAGACAACACCAGAAACCAUCCCUCAGCAGCCGAGACAAAACGUAGAUGUACUGAGCUGAAUGCAUAACUGUUCCUCUGCCCGCUGCUUUCACUGUAACAUGUAGAUUUGGUGAGCACUAAAUGUAGAUUUACUGAGCUGAAUGCGUAACUGUU